UGAGCAAUCUGCCCUUCUCAUCGGAAUAAGCGUUGGAAACGACGUCUAAUGCCGAAUACGACCUCCUUUCGCAUGAUCGGAGGUGGAAAGCUCCGGCGGAGAAGGAUGAGCUCGCGGCCUACCAGCUAGUUGGUGUGGGUAACGGCCCACAAGGCGACGACGGGUAGCCGGCCUGAGAGGGCGACCGGCCACACGUGGGACUGAGAUACGGCCCAGACUCCGUACGGGAGCAGCAGG
This 237-nucleotide ribosomal RNA is filed under the name uncultured bacterium. Its description in RNAcentral is "partial 16S ribosomal RNA". It matches the Rfam family "Bacterial small subunit ribosomal RNA", at positions 118 to 354 of the family's 1533-position model. The record is from RNAcentral.